This 82-nucleotide non-coding RNA is filed under the name Oscillibacter valericigenes. RNAcentral's name for it is "c-di-GMP sequence". It matches the Rfam family "c-di-GMP-I riboswitch aptamer". Rfam says of the family: GEMM was predicted in a large-scale screen for bacterial structured RNA regulatory elements. Genes associated with GEMM are involved in a diverse array of functions, including chemotaxis regulation, signal transduction, secretion and chitin. The record is from RNAcentral. Lineage: Bacteria; Bacillati; Bacillota; Clostridia; Eubacteriales; Oscillospiraceae.
UAAAAUCAUUGGCAAAACCGUCGAAAGACGGCGUCGCAAUGUUAAAGGGCCUGUACCGUUUGGAUGGCAGCCAGUUGCGGAA